Long non-coding RNA from Dermacentor andersoni, 643 nucleotides. RefSeq lists it as uncharacterized. NCBI's taxonomy places the organism in Eukaryota, Metazoa, Arthropoda, Arachnida, Ixodida, Ixodidae. The record is from RefSeq and is a predicted model, not a curated record.
GUCGGUGUCGAGGCCGGCGAGUGCGGCCCGGGACUCCUGCGCACGCGGGGCAAGAGAAAGGAGUGUCUAUCAGAGGGGAAAAAAUACUUGGAGAUGUGUCCCUGAACCUCCCGAGAAGAUUCGCAUCCGGCCGGUGGGGGCGACGCCUGGCAGCCGUGCGCGCCGCCCAGAAUAGCCGCGGCGCCGCCGGCCGUUGGAAAGUGCGGAUCCCCCCCUGGCCGAAACGCCAAUGGCGCCGAGAUAGCAAACAAUCCCCCGUCAGUACACCGCCUCGAAGUCGAGGGAACCGGCCGCAGCGGGGGGUUGUCCGUUACGUCGGCGCGGAGGAGGACGCCAGCCCGUCGUGGCCCGAAGAUCCUCUCCGCGAGAGCAGCGCACGCUUGCGAAGAAGACAAGGGAGAUCGGUGGCAUAACAUGUGGGUCAAGGACGGACCUUCCCCACGCAGUUGACGGGAAGCAGUUUGCAAAGGCCAACGCUGGCGUGACUGUGCCAAUAGUCGUGCCAUUAAAAAAAUGACGUUUUGCGUGCACUGACAUUGCGAGGAAACGGAGAGACUGCUUCCUUAUUUCUUCUUUUUUUUCCAUCUUGUUUUUAAAUAGCAUCGGCAUUCUGACAGAACAUCGUCUAGAAUUGCGAAAUACU